CCUACGGGAGGCAGCAGUGAGGAAUAUUGCGCAAUGGGGGCAACCCUGACGCAGCGACGCCGCGUGAGUGAGGAAGGCCUUCGGGUCGUAAAGCUCUGUCAAAGGGGAAGAAGUGCAUGGUGGUUAAUAUCUGUCAUGUUUGACGGUACCCUUAAAGGAAGCACCGGCUAACUCCGUGCCAGCAGCCGCGGUAAUACGGAGGGUGCAAGCGUUGUUCGGAAUCACUGGGCGUAAAGGGCGCGCAGGCGGUUUGAAUAGUCAGAUGUGAAAGCCCACGGCUUAACCGUGGAAGUGCAUUUGAAACUGUCAGACUUGAGUACCAGAGGGGAAAGUGGAAUUCCCGGUGUAGAGGUGAAAUUCGUAGAUAUCGGGAGGAAUACCGGUGGCGAAGGCGACUUUCUGGCUUGAUACUGACGCUGAGGCGCGAAAGCGUGGGGAGCAAACAGGCUUAGAUACCCCUGUAGUC
This 466-nucleotide ribosomal RNA is filed under the name uncultured Desulfobulbus sp. Its description in RNAcentral is "bacterial SSU rRNA". It matches the Rfam family "Bacterial small subunit ribosomal RNA", at positions 338 to 795 of the family's 1533-position model. The record is from RNAcentral. Lineage: Bacteria; Pseudomonadati; Thermodesulfobacteriota; Desulfobulbia; Desulfobulbales; Desulfobulbaceae.